This 267-nucleotide long non-coding RNA is filed under the name Medicago truncatula (barrel medic). RNAcentral describes it as "long non-coding RNA (MTRU_LNC007960)". Lineage: Eukaryota; Viridiplantae; Streptophyta; Magnoliopsida; Fabales; Fabaceae. The record is from RNAcentral.
CCAAUCCCAGCCUCGAUAAGGCGGUCUUUGAAGUAGUGUGCAUUCCGCAAGCAUUUCUGCACUUCUUUCUGAAAGCCUCUGUAUCCUUUCCGGUUCAAGGUAUACCAAAGGAAUAUGGGAGCAUGGCCAUUUCGACUACCCAUGAUAGUCGCAUCCCUAGAAGCAAGGUAUUCCACAUUCCUGGAAAGAGCAUUAAUAUGCUCCAAUCUUGUUAUCUGCACACCACAAGGCAUUGGGCACCCCACAAAUUUGUGGCCAGAAACACUG